UAGGUGUAUGAGGCGAACUCGGGGAACUGAAACAUCUAAGUACCCGAAGGAAAAGAGAUCAACCGAGAUUCCCAAAGUAGCGGCGAGCGAAAUGGGACGAGCCCUAAAGCUGAAUUAAAGUUAGUUGAAUGCCCUGGAAAGAGCAGCGAAAGAGGGUGAUAGCCCCGUAGACGAAAACUUUUUUACAGUGAAAAUGAGUAGGUUGGGACACGAGAAAUCCUGAUUGAAGGUGGGGGGACCAUCCCCCAAGGCUAAAUACUCCCAGAUGACCGAUAGUGAACUAGUACCGUGAGGGAAAGGCGAAAAGAACCCCGGAGAGGGGAGUGAAAUAGACCCUGAAACCCUGUGCAUACAAGCAGUGGGAGCAGACUUGUUCUGUGACUGCGUACCUUUUGUAUAAUGGGUCAGCGAGUUAAUUACAGUAGCGAGGUUAACCGGAUAGGGGAGCCGUAGUGAGAGCGAGUCUGAAUAGGGCGAUAGUUGCUGUGAUUAGACCCGAAACCGAGCGAUCUAGCCAUGGGCAGUGUGAAGGUUCAGUAACAUGAACUGGAGGCGCGAACCCACUUACGUUGAAAAGUGAGGGGAUGACCUGUGGCUUGGAGUGAAAGGCUAAACAAGCUCGGAGAUAGCUGGUUCUCCCCGAAAUCUAUUUAGGUAGAGCCUCACGUAUUACCAUUGGGGGUAGAGCACUGUUUCGGCUAGGGGGCCAUCCCGGCUUACCAAACCGAUGCAAACUCCGAAUACCGAUGAGUAGAGCGUGGGAGACAGACGGCGGG
This 776-nucleotide ribosomal RNA is filed under the name uncultured bacterium. RNAcentral's name for it is "bacterial LSU rRNA". It matches the Rfam family "Bacterial large subunit ribosomal RNA", at positions 167 to 995 of the family's 2925-position model. The record is from RNAcentral.